UAGUGAUAACAUAUAUUAUUAUCAUUAAUAUUAAUAAUAGUUGUUUUUUAAGAUGAUAUAUUUUUUAAUAACGUAAUAAUGUGCUGUAUUAUUAUUAUUAUUGUUGUUAUUAUUAAUAUCGUUUUUCUGGUUUUCUUUGUGAUUUCUGUUCAUGGCUGCAUUUGCUGAUAUUUUCACAGUUUUAAACGUUACACUAUUCCAUUUUUAUGUAUUUCUUCCAGCACCGGCUCCAUGUUAUUAUUAUUAUUGUUGUUUUUUACAGUGUCUGAGGGGCUCCAUGUUAUUAGUGUUGUUGUUUUUUUUAACAUGUUCUUCAUGAUUGUUGUUUUACGUGUCAAGGUGAAGCAGCAGCAGGAAUCAGCCCAAAGAGGCUAAAAUAAGCUCUCAGGAGGAGCAGCAGACUUCAGGGUGACGCCGACUCCCUGCAAAGGUAGUAAUUGGGUUCCUGAGAUUGUUUUUUCUCCUCUGAAUUAAACCUCGGUGGAGCUGAAUUCACUCCGUGGGAACAGAAGAAGCUGCCAAGUGCUCCUCCGGCGUCGCUGUGUCUCAGCAGUUUUUAAUUAAAACGCUCCAUUUGUGCUCCGAUCGCUGGCUGGGAGAGAAAUCAGCAGAAUGAGCGACGGAUCGUCCUGCUGGCUCAGCUUCAUGCUCCGCUACCUCCUCUUUAAAACCACAUCUGGAGAAACCUUAGAAACGCUGCUCUACAGAGAAGCAGCAGCAGAAACAGCUCAGGUGUUGAUUCACCUGUUAGACGAUGACCAACAGAACAAAAAGCUCCAUGAAAUUCUGAUCUCAUGAUUCAGAACAGUUGAUAAAGCCACCCAGAGUUUCCCACAAUGCACCAGGAGAGGCAGUGAACAGCUGAUGGUCACCAACCAGCAAUGUUUCCCAUCAUGCAUCAGACAGAUGAGAGUUAAUCAUGGACUGGAGGCAUUUUCACAGAUUUCUAACUGUUAUUUAAUAGUAUUAAGAAGUAUUUUAUACUACAAUGUUUGGCAAUGAAUUUACACAUAUACAGCUUCUCAAGUCUACUUUACUUCUGUCUUCCACUUGACCUAAAACCCAGAGGAGACCAGAAACCAUGAAACUAUAAAAAACAUGAAACCAAGAAACCAAGAAACCAUUAAACCAAUAAACUAAGAAACUACUAAACCAUGAAACUUAGUAACCCUUAAGAUGCUUGAUGUUUGGGUUUCUUCUCUUUCCAUUCUGUCUUUUGCUUCCUCCUUCGUCUCGGUGGUUUCCUUCCAUCAUGGACUGGUUUCCUUCCAUCCUGGACUGGUUUCCUUCCAUCCUGGACUGGUUUCCUUACAUCCUGGACUGGUUUCCUUACAUCCUGGACUGGUUUCCUUCCAGUCGGAGGUCUGAAAGUGUCUCGGUCUGAGCAGACCGUAAAGAUAAUUUGUGACUCGUUUUAUCUGCUCAUAUAAAUAAACCCACAUGAUGGAUGAGACCGUAGAACUUCCUGCUGGAGUCCAGACCGACCUGAAGGUUUUGCUGCAGAGAACCAAACCGAUGUGUGAAGGAUCUAAACUAGGACGUUCUGAUGUUUACUGAACACAUCUGUCACUUUAUUGCUACAGAUUCCUUCACUUCUCCUUGAAUCAGAACAUCUGCACCCUUCUUUCUUGGAUCGUUCAUUUCAUCUGGUCCAGCAGAUGCCUUCACAGAGAACCCUGCUGUUAGAAGAACACCAUCAAAAUGUAUUCAGCACAUUGUUAGAUGUUAUCUUUUGUUGCUCUUUUAGUAUUUCCUUUUGGAAAUGUUUGUACUUCCUAUUUUCUUGAUGUUUAAUUCCUGCUCCAGAACUCCUGUGUGUCUGUUGGAGCACAAACGACAAAUAAAACCCUGAACUAGAACCGAAAUGUUUGUGUAAAAAGAACAGCCGAGCAGAUAAAACCACUUCAAGCCGACAGCAGACUUAUUUAUUCUUCUUCAGCCUCCUGGCAGCUUUUAUCCCAGUGAGGCGUUUAGGGACCGUAGUAAUAAUGUCCUUCAAUGAGCAGAUGUUCUACCUGUUAGGAGUUCAUUCUGAGCAGAUCAUUGGACUGAUGCCAACACUUCAGGACUUCAUUAUUUCUCUUGUUCUGAACGACUAAAACCCGCUGGUUUCAUCCUGGUACCUUCAUGGAGCCUCGACGUUUCCUGACAGAUAGAAAAGAUUCAGGUCCUCAACAUAACGUUCAGGUCUGAGUUUAUCUCCUCAUAACGUUCAGGUCUGAGUAUCUCCUUAUGAUGUUCAGGUCUGAGUUUAUCUCCUCAUGGUGACGUUCAGGUCUGAGUUUAUCUCCUCAUGGUGACGUUCAGGUAUGAGUUUAUGUCUUGAUCAUGAUGUUCAGUUCAGCUAAACAGACGUUGAACUCAGUUUAUGUUUCCCAGAAUAGACUCUGAUCCACUGACGUUCAGGAGGAGCUCAGAUUCCAGCAGUCGGAGAAGAACUGGAGCUUCUAUCAAUAGAUUCUCUUUGGGAACCUCGGACUCUAUUAUGGGCUGUUUGUCUCCAUGACGACGUUUCUCCACAGAAAAAGCUCGUUUCUAAAAACACAGUGAGUGAACCGGAAGGUCAAACCUCAGAGUCUUCAUCUGAACAGAAGCAACCAGAACCUCAGAGACACUGAAGUCAGAACAUCUCAAACCAAAACAUCACGGUUAUCUUCUAGAUGAUCACAUUUAAAUCUGUGUGACUCUACAGGAGAACCUGAGAUGUCCUUUCUGACAGUAUGACUAAAACUCGUUCUUCAUCUGGCGUCUACAGUUCCAGAGACAUACAACAACAUGCUGCUGUUCCACCAGAAACUUUCUGAAAAAGUGACGUAAACCAACUUCCUGUUUAGCUGCAAACCUGUAGCAUCUUAGAGCAGAUAUUUAUCUCAGUCCAGCAGAGUUCUAUGAACCAGCACCAGACAACUUAUAUCUACAGAACAUCUGGUUUGUGUAGAUUCAUCCAGGUCAUGGUGAUCGUAGGAGCUUCAGUAGAAACCAACGGGAUGUCUCUGGUAGGUUCUUGAAGACAUUUCACCUCUCACCCAGGAUCCUCUGGUAGGUUCUUCAAGAUGUUUCACCUUUCGUCUUGGAUGUGGACUCCUCUAGUAGGUUCUUGAAGAUGUUUCACUUAUUGUCUUGGACAUGGACUUCUCUGGUAGGUUCUUCAAGAUGUUUCACCUCUAAUUUUGGAUGUGGACUUCAUUUCACCUCUCAUCCAAGAUGAGAAGUGAAACAUCUUCUGGAACCUAACAGAAAGGUCCGUGCCCAAGGCGAUAAGUGAAACAUCUUCAAGAACCUACCGGAGAAGUUCAGUUGGUUUCUCCUGAAGCUCCUAUGAUCACAGUGUGUUUUUGUUGCAGAUAUGAACACUGGUUUUGUGGUUUGUUCUGCAGGUUUUUCAGGAUUUUUGCGACCGCAGCAUCGCUUUUUAAAUCCACCUUCAGUUAAUGUUGUGUCAUGAACAGUUUGAACUUCAGUCAGACGUGCUGCAGAAUCUAAGAUUGCAGUUUUAGUUUCAGAAGAUUUAAAAAUCAAUGAAUUGUUCGACUUUCAGGUUGACGAACUCUAACAGUGAAAUUUAGGACGUUCCGUGUUGGUGGGAAUGCAUGGAAGUCAGAAUGACUGAACAUCUGUGGAAGCUUCUGCUGAUCUGCUCACAGUGUGGGUUCCUCACUGCAGGUUAAAGCAUCUUUAUAGAGUCUGAAGCAGACCCAAACAUGGCCACGGUGACGCUGACAUUCUCCUCUGUUUGUUUGGUGGUACCAGCUGUUGGAGCAGCAGAAGGACGGAGUGUUGUAGCAACAGGAAGCAGCUAAACGCUAAAAUCAACACCAGCCCAGGAACACGCACAACGUCCUCAGCAGCUCAGAUCAGGAACACGCCAGGGUUGCUGGGAAACGUGCUGCAAACACACACCUCACACACACACUUUACAACACACACACACACACACACCUCACACACACACUUUACAACACACACACACACACACACACACCUCACACACACACUUUACAACACACACACACCUCACACACAUCACACACGCUAUUUCUGCUGCUGAGGCCAGAAGGUGUUUUUCUGCUUAUACAUAUCACACACAUUACAUACAUGACACACACCACAUACACACAUUACAUACAUGACACACACCACAUACACACAUUACAUACAUGACACACACACACAGUGACUGAUUGUGCCCCUGGAUCUAGGAGGUGUUUUUCUGCCAGUUCUAGAUCUAGGAAGCGUUUAUCUGCCGGAUCUAUCUCUCGGAGGUGUUUUUCUGCUGGUUCUAGCUCUAGGAGGUGUUUUUCUGCCGGUUCUAGCUCUAGGAGGUCUUUUUCUGCCGGUUCUAGCUCUAGGAGGUGUUUUUCUGCCGGUUCUAGAUCUAGGAGGCGUUUUUCUGCCGGUUCUAGCUCUAGGAGGUGUUUUUCUGCCGGUUCUAGCUCUAGGAGGUGUUUUUCUGCUGGCUCCUCAUCAGCAUGCAGCAGCAGCAGCAGGAUGAUGAAACCGGAGCUAUAAAUAGAUCCUCCCAGGAUCCCCUGUUUCUCUCUGCUCUGCUCCAAUAAAACUCUGUUUGCUUUGGCAGCGAGGAGCUCCUGAACCAUCUGUGGCUCUGCUUCAGAACAAACAGAAUCAGCUGAUAAAUCAGAGCUGAAUGGUAAAAAUAGAGAACAGCUUCAGUGUGAUCAGGAGACUGCAUCUGCAGCAGAAGGAGUCCUGCAAAUGGUUCAUGUUCAGGUUGAAGGAAACAGCAAAUACCAGAGGACAGGAGAUGUUUGAAGAACUAGAAGGUCCUCUAGAGACGCUCCAGAACUACAGCUUCUAGACCAGCUGCAAAAAACCCCACCAAAGUACAAUGAUAGAAAAGAUAUUUAGCUCUGUGUUCAGGCAGCAACAAUCAGAGCUCAAAAAUGAAGCAAAUGCGAUGGAUCUAAACAGUCUGAACUCCAAGCAGCAGAUUCUGUCUUGUUUUAUCUUCACUGUGGCUCAUUUUAAUGUCCUGAAGCUCUGAGGAACCAGAACAUCAUGAAGAACAAUGAUGGAGGUGUCUUUUGACAGCAGGACUCACUUAGAUGAGGCUCUAAAUGUACAUAAAUCAACUUCAGAAUAGGUUAGAAUGGCAAAAUGUGAUCUAAAAGGACAAAACUUUAUUCAAAGGGACUUGAACUUUGAAUAAUCUGAUCUAAAAAUGCUCACAAAAUAAAAACCAAACAUGAAAUAAAAGAAUGUAGACGAAAACAAAGAAUGUAGACAAAAUAAAAGAACAGAGACGAAAUAAAAGAACGUAGAUGAAAUAAAAGGAUAGACACGAACUAAGAGAAUGGAGAAGAAAUAAAAGAACGUAGAUGAGUUAAAAGAACGUAGACGAAAUAAAAGAAUGGGGGCUAAAUAAAAGAACAGAGACAAAAUAAAAGAAUGGAGACCAAAAAGAAUGUAGACAAAAUAAAAAACAGAGAAGAAAUAAAAGAAUGGACAUGAAAGUUUAUCCUUAUCCUUAAAUAAAAGAACGGAGAAGAAAUAAAAACGUAGACGAAAUCAAAGAACGUAGACGAAAUAAAAGAGCAAACACUAAAUAAAAGUACGGAGAAGAAAUAAAUGAAAGAACAUGAAAUCAAAGACCUGAGAUGAAAUCCAGAGCAGCGUUUUUACCUUCUGACUCGUUUUAACUCACUGAGGUUCAUUUUUAAAAUCCUGCAGCUCUGAGGAAUCAGAACAUCACGAAGAACGAUGGAAAUGUCCUCUGCAACAUCAAAUGUGAAGAAACAAGAUGGAGACCAACAAAAACGGGACUUUAAAAGACAGAAUGAGGACCAAACUGACAGUCUGUGGACGAAUCAUCUCCAUUUUCUGUUCUGUCUCGGUCUGGUAGUUCUUCUAUGUGUUCAUGUUCAUUUUGUAUCUAUUUUUUUCUGCUUUGCGUCUUUUUCAGCUCAUUUUGUGUGUCUUUGUUGUUAUUGCAUUGUAUAGUUGUUCUUUUGCGUCUUUUUCUUUACACUUAUUUCCUGGUUUCCUGCUGUCAGAAGACAUCUCCAUCAUUCUUCUUCAUGAUGUUCUGGUUCCUCAGAGCUGCAGGACUUUAAAAUGAACCACAGCGAAGACAAACGAGACGAAGUUACGCAACACGUUAAAUAACAGCUAAAGAGACGACAUCUGCAGCCUGAAACCUCCGAGGAACCUCCAGAGAUCCAGUCUGAGCCAGAUGAGGCUCCAUGAUGAUCCAGAAACACUCAGAGAGAAACAGUAGAACCUGAACAGACCGAUGGACGCUUCGUUAGGAGAGUCCAACGGACCGAUGGGCGCUUCGUUAGGAGAGUCCAACGGACCGAUGGACGCUUCGUUAGGAGAGUCCAACGGACCGAUGGACGCUUCGUUAGGAGAGUCCAACACACUGAUCAAAGAUCUCCACGGUGCUGAGGUUACAGCUGAGGAAUAGAACACUCUAGACGGGAUUUAGCUUCAAACUGAUGUGACUUUAUUCGCAAUUUUUGGCUUUUUUUAAGCAUGUAAAUCAUAUAUAGAUAAUUUUUUUCUUGAUUUUUUUGGUUAACGUAGAAUUAAAAAAAAAAAAGGGAAA
Acanthochromis polyacanthus (spiny chromis) is the source of this 6565-nucleotide long non-coding RNA. RefSeq lists it as uncharacterized. The record is from RefSeq and is a predicted model, not a curated record. The transcript has 2 exons. NCBI's taxonomy places the organism in Eukaryota, Metazoa, Chordata, Actinopteri, Pomacentridae.